Long non-coding RNA from Cydia pomonella (codling moth), 1677 nucleotides. RefSeq lists it as uncharacterized. NCBI's taxonomy places the organism in Eukaryota, Metazoa, Arthropoda, Insecta, Lepidoptera, Tortricidae. The transcript is spliced from 3 exons. The record is from RefSeq and is a predicted model, not a curated record.
UUGAAGCACAACUAACUAAAAACGCACACAAUGUAUCGCAAGAUUUGUAGAGCCCUUAAUGACAAGUGUAAAUGCGUCUCCGUCAUUUUCUCGUAUCUAAGAAAUAUUCAUACAAAAAGACACUACCAACAUAAGGAAAUAAAACGUGAAAACUUCAACGCCAUCUUGUUGUUAUCUAUGAUCCGCUCCUUACAUUGUAUGUCUAUGCUCCUUACACUAUUGCGUAGAUAUUAAAACAUUAAUUUGACAUUGUAUUGAAUUCAGUGUAUCCCUUUCAUUUUAAGAACUAAUAAAAGAGACGUGUUUAUUGAAUCCCGUUUUGAUUAUGCACAUGGUGAUUUUACCGCUAGAGAAUUACGUCCACCAGCACACAUGCAAAACAAAGUUCGAAAUGGCUAUAAUAGUUUGAUGUGUUAACUUAGUUUGUAAGUUUAAUAUUAAUUUCAGACUUUAAAUAACGUUUUGCUUUUAUAAAGCCGUGUGAUUAAUUGUAAAUAUGAAUCUAUGUACAGUGUCCUGAGUGUUUGAUCUUGGUUCCGAAUUUAAAAUAAAGUUUGCAAGAACCUACAAAAAGACCUUGACGUGAACUUAAAACUAAAUACAUGAAAAUUAUUGUAAAAGCGGAUUAAAAGUUUAAGAUGAUUACGGAACAGAAAAUGGUUAUAAAAGCAAUACAUCCAAAGUUAAACAAUAAGUGCGAGAACUUGAAUGAUUUGUCCCUAGACUGCGCCUUUUGAAUUGACAUAGACAAAUCAAUAUAAAAUAUCAUAACAGCAAAAGUUACUAGCUUCAAAUACCUUGUCGCAGCUCAACUCUCCAUCCUGAAAUAUUUAAUCUGAGCAAAAACAUUGAGAAUCUGAUUUGUGUUAACAACAAUGAGCUGACAACAUCCUCUCCCAACACACUAACAACUUUGAGACAGCAACGCCUCUCCCCCAUACAAAAGUCAUAUGUGGAGUCCUAUAUGGAAAAACAAAUAAAAUGAGCCUGCCAACCUUUAAUUUAUGAAUCAUCAUUAGUAUCCAAUCGAGUUUCAAAUGAGGUAAAAUACUACAAAACCGCUGAUGCAGGGUAACAGGAUUACGGGCUGGAAAAAAUGCACCAAUCCAUUGUGAAUAAAAACACCUACAGAAGACUAAGAAGGUAUAGGCUGCCCUUGUUCCAUCAAACCUGUUUGGAAGUUGUAGUCACGUGACUUGUUAUGCUUUAAGUACCGCUACGAAUCAACCUGCACUAUCUUAUGACUAAAAAAUGUAGAGAAUGAAGAUCCUAGUACUUCAAGUUAAGCUUUAAAUACAUAGAGUAUGUAUCAACCUGCAAUUAUGAAGCAAAUUGUGACACUGACAGUAAGACCCAGAAGAUGAUGGCCCCACUUGCCCCAGUAUAUAAGUCUUGGUAAAUAGCUUAAGGGAGACCUUAGGUCCUCUCUUUCUUUAAAGCGACAUCGAAGUGACAAAUAAAUGUUACCAUUAUUGCUGCAGCUAAACAAGCCAUGCUACUAUUUCUAUUGAUAUAAAUGUCGCUAUUACAGAUUUUGUCGUGCUAGUUCAUUAAUUUCACUUAAGAAUAUUAAGUAGGAAUAAGUGGAAGAUAAAACAUAUUAAGAUGUGCUAGAUAAAUACAUCUCUCUUUUAAAUUACAAACAAAACUCUUCGUAACCAAAGAAGCAUGAUUUUA